Molecule: antisense RNA, 150 nt
Filed under: Helicobacter acinonychis str. Sheeba
Lineage: Bacteria; Pseudomonadati; Campylobacterota; Epsilonproteobacteria; Campylobacterales; Helicobacteraceae
Description: Bacterial antisense RNA HPnc0260
Rfam family: Bacterial antisense RNA HPnc0260
Source: Rfam by way of RNAcentral
AGUGUUAUCUUUUAAGGGCGUUAUUUUAGCGUGUUUAACGAUUUUUGAAUAUCAUUUUAGAGGCAAUCAAAAAUUUGCAAAAUGAGAAUUAAAAUUGGAGUAAUGUAAUAAUGGUGGCCACGACUGGACUUGAACCAGCGACCACUACCA